ACGGGAGGCAGCAGUGGGGAAUCUUCCGCAAUGGGCGCAAGCCUGACGGAGCAACGCCGCGUGAAUGAAGAAGGUCUUCGGAUCGUAAAGUUCUGUUGAGAGGGACGAGAGAUAACUUCAGGAAAUGGGAGUUAGAGGACGGUACCUUUCGAGGAAGCCACGGCUAACUACGUGCCAGCAGCCGCGGUAAUACGUAGGUGGCGAGCGUUGUCCGGAAUUAUUGGGCGUAAAGGGAGCGCAGGUGGGAAAGUAAGUCAGUCUUAAAAGUGCGGGGCUCAACCCCGUGAUGGGAUUGAAACUACUUUUCUUGAGUGCAGGAGAGGAAAGCGGAAUUCCUAGUGUAGCGGUGAAAUGCGUAGAUAUCAGGAGGAACACCGGUGGCGAAGGCGACUUUCUGGACUGUAACUGACACUGAGGUACGAAAGCGUGGGGAGCAAACAGGAUUAGAUACCCGGUA
RNAcentral lists this ribosomal RNA (457 nucleotides) under uncultured Anaerovibrio sp. RNAcentral's name for it is "bacterial SSU rRNA". It matches the Rfam family "Bacterial small subunit ribosomal RNA", at positions 341 to 792 of the family's 1533-position model. The record is from RNAcentral. Lineage: Bacteria; Bacillati; Bacillota; Negativicutes; Selenomonadales; Selenomonadaceae.